Molecule: ribosomal RNA, 117 nt
Filed under: Otolemur garnettii (small-eared galago)
Lineage: Eukaryota; Metazoa; Chordata; Mammalia; Primates; Galagidae
Source: RNAcentral
GUCUAUGGCCAUGCCACCUUGAACAUCCCUAAUCUUGUCUGACUUGGGAAGCUAAGCAGAGUUGGUCCUAGUUAGUACUUGGAUGGGAGACAACACUGUAAUUAGGCCAUUUAGCAA